UGGCGGACGGGUGAGUAACACGUACGUGACCUGUCCGGAAGUGGGGAAUAACCGGCCGAAAGGUUGGCUAAUACCGCAUGUGGUCACCCCUUGGAAGGGGCUGACGAAAGCCGAAAGGCGCUUCUGGAGGGGCGUGUGGCCGAUUAGCUAGUUGGUGUGGUAACGGCGCACCAAGGCGAUGAUCGGUAGCUGGUCUGAGAGGAUGGCCAGCCACACGGGGACUGAGACACGGCCCCG
This 237-nucleotide ribosomal RNA is filed under the name uncultured bacterium. Its description in RNAcentral is "partial 16S ribosomal RNA". It matches the Rfam family "Bacterial small subunit ribosomal RNA", at positions 96 to 334 of the family's 1533-position model. The record is from RNAcentral.